UUAAUCUUUUCAUCCAUACAUAACAUAAUAAUGGUUCAUAACUUGAAUCUUAACAUACAUAAUAUCCAAAUUGUAAUAGUUUCAAAUGCAUACCCUCAAAAGGGCUUACACAACAUAAACAUCAUUAUACUUGAAUAAUAUUACAUACUUUCAAAUUCUUUUAAUCCUAUCCAUUCAUAAAUUAUAUGUCCAUCUACCUAUAUAUUAUACAAAAAGAAAGGCUAAUACUACUCUUGAUGCUCUUUCUUCAAAGAACUCUUCUAGUCCAAUAACCUUGCACCUAUUUUCUUGAAAUAUGGAGGCGGAAGAACCAAAACUUUAAAACUUGAAUAAACUCUUCUACACUUCUAAAUGAAAAAAUCCAACUCUAAAUCUUCAAAAACUCAAAGGAAUCUCUUCAAUGAGUUUCUUGUAUGCCCCAAUAGUUGAGAGAGAGAGAGGAAAGAAGAAAAU
RNAcentral lists this unclassified non-coding RNA (453 nucleotides) under Hevea brasiliensis (rubber tree). Lineage: Eukaryota; Viridiplantae; Streptophyta; Magnoliopsida; Malpighiales; Euphorbiaceae. The record is from RNAcentral.